UAAAAUUAAGCAAUAAMCGAAAGUUUGACUAAGUUAUGCAACAUCACAUAGGGUUGGUAAAUUUCGUGCCAGCCACCGCGGUCAUACGAUUAACCCUAAUUAAUAAAACCCGGCGUAAAGAGUGUUAAAACUAUAAGAACAAUAAGAUUAAAUUUUAUCUAAGUCGUAAAAAACAACAGAUAAAAAUAAGACCAUAAACGAAAGUAAUCUUAAUAAACCUGAAUACACUAAAGCUAAGACCCAAACUGGGAUUAGAUACCCCACUAUGCUUAGCCAUAAACACAGAUAUUUAAUAACAAAAAUUUUCGCCAGAGUACUACUAGCAACAGCUUAAAACUCAAAGGACUUGGGGGUGCUUUAAACCCACCUAGAGGAGCCUGUUCUAUAAUCGAUAAACCCCGAUACACCUCACCACUUCUUGCUAAUCCAGUCUAUAUACCGCCAUCUCCAGCAAACCCCAACAGGGACUAAAAGUAAGCACAACUAUGCUCGUAAAAACGUUAGGUCAAGGUGUAACUAAUGAAGUGGAAAGCAAUGGGCUACAUUUUCUUUCCCCCAAGAAAAUAAUAACAGUAAUCUUUAUGAAACUAAUGAUUUAAGGAGGAUUUAGUAGUAAAUUGAGAAUAGAGAGCUUAAUUGAAUUAG
RNAcentral lists this ribosomal RNA (645 nucleotides) under Mysateles prehensilis (prehensile-tailed hutia). RNAcentral's name for it is "partial 12S ribosomal RNA". It matches the Rfam family "Bacterial small subunit ribosomal RNA", at positions 359 to 1370 of the family's 1533-position model. The record is from RNAcentral. Lineage: Eukaryota; Metazoa; Chordata; Mammalia; Rodentia; Capromyidae.